RNAcentral lists this transfer RNA (92 nucleotides) under Coxiella sp. (in: g-proteobacteria). RNAcentral's name for it is "Coxiella sp. (in: Bacteria) tRNA-Ser". It matches the Rfam family "tRNA". From Rfam's summary of the family: Transfer RNA (tRNA) molecules are approximately 80 nucleotides in length. Their secondary structure includes four short double-helical elements and three loops (D, anti-codon, and T loops). The record is from RNAcentral. Lineage: Bacteria; Pseudomonadati; Pseudomonadota; Gammaproteobacteria; Legionellales; Coxiellaceae.
GGAGAGAUGGCUGAGUGGUUGAAGGUGCUCGCCUGGAAAGCGAGUGUAUGUUUUACGACGUACCGAGGGUUCGAACCCCUCUCUCUCCGCCA